UGCAGUCGAGCGGGGGAGGUAGCUUGCUACCGGACCUAGCGGCGGACGGGUGAGUAAUGCUUAGGAAUCUGCCUAUUAGUGGGGGACAACAUCUCGAAAGGGAUGCUAAUACCGCAUACGUCCUACGGGAGAAAGCAGGGGAUCUUCGGACCUUGCGCUAAUAGAUGAGCCUAAGUCGGAUUAGCUAGUUGGUGGGGUAAAGGCCUACCAAGGCGACGAUCUGUAGCGGGUCUGAGAGGAUGAUCCGCCACACUGGGACUGAGACACGGCCCAGACUCCUACGGGAGGCAGCAGUGGGGAAUAUUGGACAAUGGGGGGAACCCUGAUCCAGCCAUGCCGCGUGUGUGAAGAAGGCCUUAUGGUUGUAAAGCACUUUAAGCGAGGAGGAGGCUACUUUAGUUAAUACCUAGGGAUAGUGGACGUUACUCGCAGAAUAAGCACCGGCUAACUCUGUGCCAGCA
Molecule: ribosomal RNA, 461 nt
Filed under: Acinetobacter baumannii
Lineage: Bacteria; Pseudomonadati; Pseudomonadota; Gammaproteobacteria; Moraxellales; Moraxellaceae
Description: bacterial SSU rRNA
Rfam family: Bacterial small subunit ribosomal RNA
Source: RNAcentral